Molecule: ribosomal RNA, 254 nt
Filed under: uncultured bacterium
Lineage: Bacteria
Description: partial 16S ribosomal RNA
Rfam family: Bacterial small subunit ribosomal RNA
Source: RNAcentral
UACGAAGGGGGCUAGCGUUGUUCGGAAUUACUGGGCGUAAAGGGCGCGUAGGCGGCCGAUCGAGUCAGGCGUGAAAAUCCCGGGCUUAACCUGGGGACUGCGCUUGAGACUGAUGGGCUUGAAUGCGGGAGAGGAUGGCGGAAUUCCCAGUGUAGAGGUGAAAUUCGUAGAUAUUGGGAAGAACACCGGUGGCGAAGGCGGCCAUCUGGCCCGAUUAUUGACGCUGAGGCGCGAAAGCGUGGGGAGCAAACAGG